This 477-nucleotide ribosomal RNA is filed under the name uncultured organism. Its description in RNAcentral is "partial 16S ribosomal RNA". It matches the Rfam family "Bacterial small subunit ribosomal RNA", at positions 332 to 800 of the family's 1533-position model. The record is from RNAcentral.
UACACUCCUGCGGGAGGCAGCAGUGGGGAAUUUUGGACAAUGGGCGAAAGCCUGAUCCAGCCAUGCCGCGUGCAGGAUGAAGGCCUUCGGGUUGUAAACUGCUUUUGUACGGAACGAAACGGCCUUUUCUAAUAAAGAGGGCUAAUGACGGUACCGUUAGAAUAAGCACCGGCUAACUACGUGCCAGCAGCCGCGGUAAUACGUAGGGUGCAAGCGUUAAUCGGAAUUACUGGGCGUAAAGCGUGCGCAGGCGGUUAUGUAAGACAGUUGUGAAAUCCCCGGGCUCAACCUGGGAACUGCAUCUGUGACUGCAUAGCUAGAGUACGGUAGAGGGGGAUGGAAUUCCGCGUGUAGCAGUGAAAUGCGUAGAUAUGCGGAGGAACACCGAUGGCGAAGGCAAUCCCCUGGACCUGUACUGACGCUCAUGCACGAAAGCGUGGGGAGCAAACAGGAUUAGAUACCCCAGUAGUCCCAUGA